GAGCAUCGUAGUCACGACGCGCGGCAGC
This 28-nucleotide small RNA is filed under the name Bombyx mori (domestic silkworm). Its description in RNAcentral is "ovarian small RNA-15777". Lineage: Eukaryota; Metazoa; Arthropoda; Insecta; Lepidoptera; Bombycidae. The record is from RNAcentral.